UUGGCCCUGAAUCAAGGCCAAUAGUUUGUUGAAGCUGUUAGUUUCAAGGUGGUGCCUAAAGAAAUGCCUUUCUAUGGUCUGUUGGCCAUUUCAGAAAUUUGGAAGUAUAAUGGUCAAUUCAUUAGAAAGAAACAUGU
RNAcentral lists this small nucleolar RNA (137 nucleotides) under Nannospalax galili (Upper Galilee mountains blind mole rat). Lineage: Eukaryota; Metazoa; Chordata; Mammalia; Rodentia; Spalacidae. The record is from RNAcentral.